CAAACUUUUGGUUUCAAAUAUGAAACUGAAUUACGAGUUCCUUAUGGAGAGAAAUAUGAGAGUAUGAAUUACCACACCAAUUUAUUGAUGUUGGACAAGAUUAAUUAUUUACUCAGCCAUAACAAAAUAGGUUGUGCUUUCAUGGAAUUAGGCUAUGUGAAACUUUCCAAUAAAUGCAAGUAAAUUACGUCAUUUUUAUUAAAAUUUAAAUCAGAACAUGAUUACGAACAUAAAAACAUAGACUAAAUAUUUUGGUAUUUUACAC
Molecule: non-coding RNA, 265 nt
Organism: Cinara cedri
Lineage: Eukaryota; Metazoa; Arthropoda; Insecta; Hemiptera; Aphididae
Source: the annotation of a GenBank genome assembly